Molecule: long non-coding RNA, 2574 nt
Organism: Acanthopagrus latus (yellowfin seabream)
Lineage: Eukaryota; Metazoa; Chordata; Actinopteri; Spariformes; Sparidae
Exons: 3
Source: RefSeq, a predicted model, not a curated record
AAUAACAGCAGCACAUCAAUGAUUGAAGAGUUUAGAGAUGCCGGGCCGUCCUGGUUCUGCUACUUUUCAGUCUUUUAAAGUCUGUAACGAUGGUUCGCAGGUAGGGAGAAUAUCGUUACCCUUUUCUCUUGAGUCUAAUGGUGAAGAUGUCUGCAGGGGAUGGAAGCUCCUGGCACGUGACUUCUGUCUGUUCUGUGUCACAGUUUUCUUGCUGCAGGUGAGACUGUACCGGCUCCCUGCUGAGCCUCUGCAUUCACUUCUGUACAGCCGUCAUGGGACGUCUGUCCAAGAAGAACACCAGCUACACCGCUCACAGAUGCUUCAGUCUAAGUUGCAUUUUCUGCAUUAUUCAAAACUCACAAGCAUGUUUUUGUUGCCAUAAGCUGUUUUAGCCCAUUUCGGUUUGCUUGUUUGUUGUUUUGUUGGUUUGUCAGCAGGAUUGCACAAUGACUAAAGAGCGGAGUUUGAUGGACUUUGGAUGGAGGAGGAUGAGUCUCAGCCCAGAACAGACUGCAUCAGCUUUGAGUGCAGAUCAGGAAUUUGUCUUUAACCAUAUGCUGCUUGGCUGACUCAGCAUCAGCUCACUGCACACGGCGCUCCAGCUCCUCCUUAUUCUUUCCUCUGUUUGGGUGUCAGUCAUGUCUAAGGAGUAAAUAAUGAUCCAUUCAAAAUCUGUUCACGGUCACUUCGAAAUUCUUCCCUCAUCCUCUGUGAAAACCUCUUGUGAAGAGGAGAGCUCUUUCACACAUUCACAAACACAGAGGAUCCAUAAAGACAUCCGAUGAAGAAUCAAAAGUAGGCAGCAGAGAUGUUGGUUUGGGAAUCGACAGGAGGAGUGAAGUGUCUCUUCCCCGAAGCUGAAGUAGGUGGUUCCAGACGGCAUGCGGAGUUGAAAAAGAAAGUGCUUUCAAAGAGUGGAGAGGCGUCUCGGGAGCGACGACGCUUUUAUUUCUCCCUCAGAAGGCAGAGUGAGCACCUGAAGACGUGUCCGGGCCAACACAUCUGUGUGCUGAUGUUGUCGCUGUGCUCGUCUGCUUUGUCCACUCAGAACUUAAGACUUGAUUCAUCAGUCAGAUAAUCCUUUCCAAACUAAAUACAGCCUUAAAAGCAUUUUUUAAAAAUUCAUUUUCCUGUUUGUUUUUGUGGUAAGUCAUCAGUAAUAUAAUAUGUUGUGUGCAACAGGCUUUAUAUUCUCUUCCCAAUUGUACAUCAUUGGUGUUGUGUUUUGAAUUAAAGUGGCUCUAUGUCACAUUUUGCAGCGGUUUAUGUGUGUUAAUCACUUUUUUAUCAGCCAUAUGUGAAUAAAUUGUAACAGGAUGUGAAAAAUUAGAACCUUCCCGUCUCUCCCGGUUGCCUUUACAAGCCUGUGGACGACUUGCCCUCAGAUGUUAAACGGCGUGUGAAUGACGGAUGUCUUUGUAAGACGUUUUCCUCAACAGUCCAAAGGAUGUAACGUUAUCCACAUUUGUCCAGUGCCUCUCUCCGCUCUGCUAACACAGAUCAGCGGGAGCUAACGUUAGUUUAGAAAUGGAGCCUGCUAACAUAUACUAGUGCCAGGAUACUUAAUGUUUCCACUGCGAUGCUGAGAGAAUUAUCAUGGCGCUGCUGUGAAACCCUGUGUGUUGGUCCUUCUGAGGCCACAUGGUAGGAAAACAUGUGUAAAGGCAACAGCACUGCCACUUCAGACUAUAUUCCAUUUAAACGUCCCAGCCAUGCCAGUGAGUCAUAAUGACAGGGCCCUGAAACACCUUAACUAAAUGCAGCCAUCGAUAAAAUUAUUAGCCACAAGUCUGUUUGUUCCUGUCAGGACACAUCACACACUGCCUGCUGUGAAAAAUGCUUCCAGGAAACAUCCACUCUGCAGUCUGAUGUGCUCUAAACUGUGAUGAAUGAAUCUGCAGAGAAAACAGCUGCACUGUUUCUUCGCUUGUCAGUUCAGAAAUAUAAUCCGUCUUAUCAAAUUUUUUUCCCUCCACAUUUCACAUACGCAGGGUUUUUGUUCUGAAGCCUCCAUGUUGUGCAGGGUGCAGCUGAAGUCGUGCUGCAUUCCAGGCGACUCGCAACUCCAACAUUUCCAACCUCCUGCUUGGAAAAAGUACGACUGAGCACCACUUGAAGUUGGAAAUCCUACUUGUAAACUCAUUUUUGUAGGUGACGUAUGGGUGAGUGGAAUAUUAACAUACAUUUCCAAAUAUAAAAGUGCCAUAAAAUUACAUCUAAAAUGGCGUCUGUUCCUCCGUGCAACGGGGCUACACAAGGUUUCUUGUUGAGUGUUGGCGUGGUCGGAAGUCGGAAAAUUUCAACUAAUUCCGACCUCCAGCUGUGACUGGAACGCACCAGUGGAGCAACAUGACGGCAGGCUCAGGCGACCGCACGCUGAUGAUCUGAAAUCAAUGUCGCCUGACCGUUGUGUGGUAAACCGCUGUCGUGUUGCACAUACAGCAACGCUCAGAGGCUUCACGUGUCACGUGCAUUUUUGCGUCUUUUCACAUGUUUAGUUUAUGCACAUAUUUGUUUUUGCACUUGAAUAAGAUCAACAGCAUUAAAAUAAUCUGAAGAGCUGCACAGAAACAC